Molecule: ribosomal RNA, 405 nt
Filed under: uncultured Bacillota bacterium
Lineage: Bacteria; Bacillati; Bacillota
Description: uncultured Firmicutes bacterium partial 16S ribosomal RNA
Rfam family: Bacterial small subunit ribosomal RNA
Source: RNAcentral
GGAGGAAUAUUGGUCAAUGGGGGAAACCCUGAACCAGCAACGCCGCGUGAAGGAAGAAGGCCUUCGGGUUGUAAACUUCUGUUUUAGGGGAAGAAAACAAUGACGGUACCCUAAGAGGAAGCCACGGCAAACUACGUGCCAGCAGCCGCGGUAAGACGUAGGUGGCAAGCGUUGUCCGGAAUCACUGGGCGUAAAGGGCGCGUAGGCGGCUUUACAAGUUGUAUGUGAAAUACCUUUGCUUAACGAAGGGAGUGCAUACAAAACUGUAAGGCUUGAGUGCAGUAGAGGGAAGCGGAAUUCCUGGUGUAGCGGUAGAAUGCGUAGAGAUCAGGAGGAACACCGGUGGCGAAGGCGGCUUUCUGGGCUGCAACUGACGCUGAGGCGCGAAAGCGUGGGGAGCAAACA